This 496-nucleotide ribosomal RNA is filed under the name uncultured bacterium. RNAcentral's name for it is "partial 16S ribosomal RNA". It matches the Rfam family "Bacterial small subunit ribosomal RNA", at positions 29 to 507 of the family's 1533-position model. The record is from RNAcentral.
AUGAACGCUGGCGGCGUGCCUAAUACAUGCAAGUCGAGCGAACAGACGAGGAGCUUGCUCCUCUGACGUUAGCGGCGGACGGGUGAGUAACACGUGGAUAACCUACCUAUAAGACUGGGAUAACUUCGGGAAACCGGAGCUAAUACCGGAUAAUAUAUUGAACCGCAUGGUUCAAUAGUGAAAGACGGUUUUGCUGUCACUUAUAGAUGGAUCCGCGCCGCAUUAGCUAGUUGGUAAGGUAACGGCUUACCAAGGCAACGAUGCGUAGCCGACCUGAGAGGGUGAUCGGCCACACUGGAACUGAGACACGGUCCAGACUCCUACGGGAGGCAGCAGUAGGGAAUCUUCCGCAAUGGGCGAAAGCCUGACGGAGCAACGCCGCGUGAGUGAUGAAGGUCUUCGGAUCGUAAAACUCUGUUAUUAGGGAAGAACAAAAGUGUAAGUAACUAUGCACGUCUUGACGGUACCUAAUCAGAAAGCCACGGCUAACUACGUG